Molecule: long non-coding RNA, 667 nt
Organism: Chrysemys picta bellii (western painted turtle)
Lineage: Eukaryota; Metazoa; Chordata; Testudines; Emydidae
Source: RefSeq, a predicted model, not a curated record
CAGCUCCGCUUUCCCUCCCAGAGCACACUGAGGGCCAGAUUGUGGCAUUUAGCUAUUGGUUCACCCUGAGAAUGGUAUGAAGACAUAUCACCCCAUGGGGUUCACUGGAAGGACUGUGCCACAGUCCAGAGACUUCCCAGUAUGUGGAGUAGGGAGGGGGUGGAACAUUAUAACAUUCCGCUUGAGACGGUCCUCCGUUCUCCUUUUGGGGGGAUUUGAAUCCAUAAGGACAGACAGAAACUGCAGUUCCUGUGUGUCCUGGAAUGCAGAGACUGAGGUUAUUCACAUCCUGUGUGCAGCUUUUCACAUCCUGCCUGGCAUGGCUUCUCACUCUGUUUUCAACAUCAGUUCCUGUGAUGAGAUGAAUGUGUUCCACACCCAGAUGGGCAGAAGAGGAAUUACGCUUGUUCACUGGAUGAAUGGAAGAGAAUCUGCUCCACCAAAGAAAUGUUGAGGUAGCUGCCAAAGUUGCAGCCAUGAUGUGUCCUAGUGGAAUCAAAGACUCAGAGGUAAAUCCAUAUAAAUCCAGAAGUAAAUCCACUGCUCCACAAAUAACAUCCCAGGAAAUAAAACCUCAAGAAAUGAGGCUGCAGUAUUUAAAAUACUGCUUGCUGGUCUCUCUGAAGUACCAGGAGCUGACAUGUAGCUUAUUUUUCUCUUUUCCUUA